This 16900-nucleotide long non-coding RNA is filed under the name Lathyrus oleraceus (garden pea). Its description in RNAcentral is "Pisum sativum (pea) long non-coding RNA (PSAT_LNC040039)". The record is from RNAcentral. Lineage: Eukaryota; Viridiplantae; Streptophyta; Magnoliopsida; Fabales; Fabaceae.
AAACAAGAACACUAAUAAAACUAUCAAUCUUCUCAAUUCUUAAUAACAAUAUACAAAAUUUAGCAAAACAAGAACACUAAUAACACUAUCAAUCUUCUCAUUUCUUGAUAACAAUAUACAAAAUUUAACAAAACAAGAACACUAAUAACACUGUCAAUCUUCUCAUUUCUUGAUAACAAUAUACAAAAUUUAGCAAAACAAGAACACUAUCAAUCUUCUCAUUUUUUGAUAACAAUAAAGAAAAUUUAGCAAAACAAGAACACUAAUAACACUAUCCAUCCUUUCAUUUCUUGAUAACAAUAUACAAAAUUCAGCAAAACAAGAACCCUAAUAACACUAUCAAUCUUCUCAUUUCUUGAUAACAAUAUACAAAAUUCAGCAAAACAAGAACACUAAUAACAGUAUCAAUCCUCUCAUUUCUUGAUUACAAUAUACAAAAUUUAGCAAAACAAGAACAUUAAUAACAUUAUCAAUCUUCUCAUUUCUUGAUAACAAUAUACAAAAUUUAGCGAAACAAGAACACUACUAACACUAAAUCAAUCUUCUCAUUUCUUUUAAUAAACAAUAUACAAAAUUUAGCAAAACAAGAACACUAAUAACAUCUAAUCAAAUCUUCUCAAUUUCUGAUGUAACAAUAUACAAAAUUUAGCAAACCAAGAACAUAAUAACACUAUCAAUCUCUCAUCAUUUCUUGAUAAACAAUAUACAAAUUUUAUGCAAAACAAGAAACACUAAUAAACACUAUCAAUCUUUCCAUUUCUUGAUAACAAUAUACAAAAUUUAGCGAAACAAGAACAAUAAUAACACUACACAAUCUUUAUUCUGAAUAAACAAUAUACAAAAUUUAGCAAAACAAGAACCAUCUAAUAAGCAUUCUAUCAAAUCUUCUCAUUUCUUGAUAACAAUAUACAAAAUUUAGCAAACUAGAUACACUAAUACACUAUCAAUCUUUCUCAUUUCUUUGAUAACAAUAUAUCUACUAAAUAUUAGCAAAAACAAGAACACUAAUAACAAAUGUAUCAAUCCUCUCAUUUCUUAAUAACAAUCUAAAUAAAAUUUAGCAAACAAGACAAUAACACUUCAAUCCUCUCAUUCUGAUAACAAACAUAUAACAAACAAACACUAAUCACUAUCAAUCUUCUGCAUUUCUUGAUGAACAUAUACAAAAUUUUAGCAAAACAAGACACUAAUAACACAUAUCAAUCUUCUCAUUUUUGAUAACAAUAUACAAAUUAAAAAAAACCAAGAACACUAAUAACACUAUCAAUCUUCUCAUUUCUUAUAACAAUGAUACUAAAAUUUAGCAAAACAAGAACACUAAUAACACAUAUCAAUCUUCUGACUUUCUUGAUAACAAUAUAAAAAAAUUUAGCAGAAACAGAACACUAAUAAACUAUCAAUCUUCUCAUUUUCCUUAAUAACAAUAUACAAAUUUAAAAACAAGAACACUAAAUAACACUAUCAAUCUUCAUUUCUUGAUAAACAAUAUCAAAAUUAGCAAAACAACAUUAAUAACACUAGUCAUCUCUCAUUUCUUGAUACAAUAUACAAAUUUAGAAAAACAAGAACACUAUACACUAUCAUCUUCUCAAAUUUUCUUGAUAACAAUAUACAGAAAUUUAGCCAAUAACAAGAACACUAAUAACACUAUCAUCUCUCAUUUCUUGAUACAAUAUAUCAAAAUUCGCAAUACAAAGAAACUAUAACACUAUCAACUUCUCAUUCUUGAUAACAAUAUACAAAUUAGGCAAACACAAAACACUAAUAACACCUAUCAAUCUCUCAUUUCUUGAUAACAUAUACAAAAUUUAGCAAAACAAGAACAUAUAACAUUAUCCAUCUUCUCAUUUCUUGAUAACAAUAUACAAAUUUACGAAACAAGAACACUAAUAACACUAUCAAUCUUCCUCAUUUUUGAAUCAACAAUAUACAAAAUUUAGCAAAACAAGAAACUAAUAACACUAUCAAUCUUUCUCAUUUCUUGAUAAAAUAUACAAUUUAGCAAAAACAGAAGCACUAAUAACACUAUCAAUUGUCCUCAUUUUCUUUGAUAACAAAUACAAAAUUUAGCAAAAACAAGAACACUAUAACACUAUCAAUCUUCCAUUUCUUGAUAACAAAUACAAAUUUAGCAAAACAAGAACAAUAAUAACACUUCAAUCUUCUUUCCUUGAUAACAAUAUACAAAAUCUAGCAAAAAAGAACACUAAUAACACUAUCAAUCUUCUGUUCUUUUGAUAACAAUAUACAAAUUUGCAAAACAGAGAACACUAAUAACACUUCAUCUUCUCAUUUUUCAUAACAAUAUACAAAUUUACAAACAAGAACAUAAUAACAUAUCUAUCUUCUCAAUUUUCUUUGAUAACAAUAUACAAAUUUAGCAAAACAAGAACAUAAUAACACUAUCAAUCUUCUCAUUUCUGAUAACAAUAUACAAAAUUUAGCAAAACAAGAACAAAUAACAUAUCAAUCUUCUAUUUCUUGAUAACAAUAUACAAAUUUAGCAAAACAAGAACACUAAUAACACAAAUCUUCUCAUUCUUGAUAAAUAUACAAAAUUUAGCAAAACAAGAAACACUAAUAACAUUAUCAAUUCUCUCAUUUCUUAAUAACAAUACAUAAUUUAGCAAACAAGAACAUAAUAACACUGCUUCAUCUCUCAUUCUUGAUAACAAUAUACAAAAUAUAGCAAAACCAGAAACACUAAUACACUCAUCAAUCUUCUCAUUUCUUGAUAACAAUAUACAAAAUUUGCAACAGAACAUAAUACACUAUCAAUCUUCUCAUUUCUUGAUUAACAUAUACAAAAUUUAAAAAAAAACAAGAACACUAAUAACACUAUAUCUCUCAUUUCUUGAUAACAAUAAUACAAAAUUUAGCAAAACAAGACACUAAUAACAUUCAAUCUUCUCAUUUCUUGAUAAACAAUAUAAAAAAUUUAGCAAAACAAGAACAUAAUAACUAUCAAUCUUCUCAUUUCUUAAACAAUAUACAAAAUUUAGAAAAACAGAACACUAAUAACAUAUCAUCUUCUCAUUUCUUGAUAACAAUAUACAAAUUUAGCAACAAGAACACUAAUAACACUUCAAUCUUCUCAUUUUUGAUAACAAUAUACAAAAUUUAGCAAAACAAGAACACUAUCAAUCUUCUCAUUUUUGAUAACAAUAUACAAAAUUUAGCAAAACAAGAACACUAAUAACACUAUCAUCUCUCAUUUCUGAUAACAAUAUACAAAAUUCAGAACAAACAAGAAGCUUCAUUCUUGAUAACAACUAUCAUUCCAACAAGACAUAUCAUUCCAUGUCUGAUAAAUGAAAAUUUCUAAGCAAAUCAAGACACAAUAAACAUCCACUACAUUUGAACAAUUUUACGAACAAGAAAUGAUACACUCUCCAAUUCUCAUUCUGAUAACAAUAUACAAAUUUAGAAAACAAGAACUUAUCAAUCCUCUCAUUUCUUGAUAACAAUAUACAUAAUUUAGCAAAACAAGAACACUAAUAACACUAUCAAUCUUCUCAUUUCUUGAUAACAAUAUACAAAAUUUAGAAAAACAAGAACACUAAUAACACUAUCAAUCUUCACAUUUCUUGAUAACAAUAUACAUAAUUUAGCAAAACAAGAACAAUAAUAACACUCUCAGUCCUCUUUUUUCUUGAUAAUAAUAUACAAAAUUUAACAAAAGAAGAACACUAAUAACACUAUCAAUCUUCUGAUUUCUUGAUAACACUAUACAAAAUUUAGCAAAACAAGAACACUAAUAACACUGUCAAUCUUCUCAUUUCUUGAUAACAAUAUACAAAAUUUAGCAAAACAAGAACACUAUUAAUCUUCUCAUUUUUUGAUAACAAUUUACAAAAUUUAGCAAAACAAGAACACUAAUAACACUAUCCAUCCUCUCAUUUCUUGAUAACAAUAUACAAAAUUCAGCAAAACAAGAACCCUAAUAACACUAUCAAUCUUCUCAUUUCUUGAUAACAAAAUUUAGCACAAACAAGAACACUAAUAAACACUAUCAAUCUUUCUUGAUAACAAUAUACAAAAUUCAGCAAAACAAGAACACUAAUAACACUAUCAAUCUUCUCAUUUCUUGAUAACAAUAUACAAAAUUCAGCAAAACAAGAACACUAAUAACACUAUCAAUCCUGUCAUUUCUUGAUAACAAUAUACAAAAUUUAGCAAACCAAGAACAUUAAUAACAUUAUCAAUCUUCUCAUUUCUUGAUAACAAUAUACAAAAUUUAGCAAAAUAAGAACACUAAUAACACUAUCAAUCUUCUUAUUUCUUGAUAACAAUAUACAAAAUUUAGCAAAGCAAGAACACUAAUAACACUAUCAAUCUUCUCAUUUCUUGAUAACAAAAUAGAAAAUUUAGCAAAACAAGAACACUAAUAACAAUAUCAAUCCUCUCAUUUCUUGAUAACAAUAUACAUAAUUUAGCUAAACAAGAACACUAUCAAUCUUCUCAUUUCUUGAUAACAAUAUACAAAAUUUAGCAAAACAAGAACACUAAUAACACUAUCAAUCCUCUCAUUUCUUAAUAACAAUAUACAAAAUUCAGCAAAACAAGAACCCUAAUAACACUAUCAAUCUUCUCAUUUCUUGAUAACAAUAUACAAAAUUCAGCAAAACAAGAACACUAAUAACACUAUCAAUCCUCUCAUUUCUUGAUAACAAUAUAAAAAGUUUAGCAAACAAGAACACAAUAACACUAUCAAUCUUCUCAUUUCUUAAUACAAAUAUAGAAAAUUUAGCAAAACAAGAACACUAAUAACACUAAUCAAUCUCUCUCUUUCUUAGAUAACAAUAUACACAAAUUUUAGCAAAACAAGAACACUAAUAACAUUAUCAAUCUUCUCAUUUCUGAUAACAAUUAGACAAAUUUAGCAAAACAAGAACACUAUAUAACACUAUCAAUCUUUCUCAUUUCUUGAUAACAAUAUACAAAAUUAUAAAAACAGAAACACUAAUAACACUAUCAAUCUUCUCAUUUCUUGAUAACAAUAUAACAAAAUUUAGCAAAACAAGAACACUAAUAACACUAUCAAUCUUCUCAUUUCUUGAUAAAAAUAGCAAAAUUAGCAAAACAAGACACUAUAACAACUAUCAAUCUUCUCAUUUCUUAAUAACAAUAUACAAAUUUAGCAAAAAGAACACUAAUAACACUAUCAAUCUUUCCAUUUCUUGAUAACAAUAUACAAAAUUGCAAAACAAGAACACUAAUAACACUCAAUUCUUCUCAUUUCUUGAUAACAAUAUACAAAAUUUAGCAAAACAAGAACACUAUCAAUCUUCUCAUUUCUUGAUAACAAUAUACAAAAUUUAGCAAACAAGAAACACUAAUAACACUAUCAUCUCUCAUUUCUUGAUAACAAUAUACAAAAUUCAGCAAAACAAGAACCUAAUAACAUAUCAAUCUUCUCAUUUCUUGAUAACAAUAUACAAAAUUCAGCAAAACAAGAACAUAAUAACUAUCAAUCCUCUCAUUCUUGACAACAAUAUACAAAAUUAAGGCAAAACAAGAACAUUAAUAACAUUAUCAAUCUUCUCAUUUCUUGAUAACAAUAUACAAAAUUUAGCGAAACAAGAACACUAAUAACACUAUCAAUCUUCUCUUUUUUCUUAAUAACAAUAUACAAAAUUUAGCAAAACAAGAACACUAAUAACACUAUCAAUCUUCUCAUUUCUUGAUAACAAUAUACAAAAUUUAGCAAAAACAAGAACACUAAUAAACACAUCAAUCUUCUCAUUUCUUGAUAACAAUAUACAAAAUUUAGCAAAGCAAAGAACACUAAUAACACUAUCAAUCUUCUCAUUCUUGAAUAACAAAAUAGAAAAUUUAGGCAAAACAAGAACACUAAUAACAUCAAUCCUUCAUUUCUUGAUAACAAUAUACAAAUUUAGCAAAACAAACACUAAUAACAUAUCAACCUCAUUUCUUGAUAACAAUAUACAAAAUUUGCAAAACAAGAACACUAUAUUAACACUAUCAAUUUCUCAUUUCUUAAUAACAAUAUACAAAAUUUAGCAAAAAAAACAAAACAUAAUAACACUAUCAAUCUCUCAUUUCUUGAUAACAUAUACAAAAUUUGGCAAAACAAGAACACUAAUAACACUAUCAAUGCUUCUUCAUUUCUUGAUAACAAAUAUACAAAUUUAAAAACAAGAACACUAUAACAACUAUCAAUCUUCUCAUUUCUUGAUAACAAUAUACAAAAUUUAGCAAAACAAGAAACUAAUAACACUAUCAAUCUUCUCAUUUCUUGAUAACAAUAUCAAAAUUUAGCAAAACAAGAACACUAUAACACUAUCAAUCUUCUCAUUUCUUAAUAACAAUAUACAAAAUUUAGCAAAACAAGAACACUAAUAACACUAUCAAUCUCUCAUUUCUUGAUAACAAUAUACAAAAUUUAGCAAAACAAGAACACUAAUAACACUUCAAUCUUCUCAUUUCUUGAUAACAAUAUACAAAAUUUAGCAAACAAGAACACUAAAACACUAUCAAUCUUCUCAUUUCUUGAUAACAAUAUAAAUUUAGCAAAACAAGAACACUAAUAACAACAUCUCAUCCUCUAUUUCUGAUAACAAUAUACAAAAUUCAGCAAACAAGAACCCUAAUAACACUAUCAAUCUUCUCAUUUCUUGAUAACAAUAUACAAAAUUCAGAAACAAGAACACUAAUAACACUAUCAAUCUUCUCAUUUCUUGAUAACAAUAUAAAAUUUAGCAAAAACAAGAACAUUAAUAACAUUAUCAUCUUCUCAUUUCUUGAUACAAUAUACAAAAUUUAGCAAAAAAGAACACUAAUAACACUAUCAAUCUUCUCAUUUCUUGAUAACAAUAUACAAAAUUUAGCAAACAAGAAACUAAAACACUAAUAAUCUCUCAUUUCUUGAUAACAAUAUACAAAAAUUAUAGAAAACAAGAACACUAUCAAUCUUCCUCAUUUUUUGAUAACAAUAUCAAAAUUUAGCAAAACAGAACACUAAAACACUAUCUCUUCUCAUUUCUUGAUAACAAUAUACAAUUCGCAAAACAAGAACACUAAUAACACUAUCAAUCUUCUCAUUUCUUGAUAACAAUAUACAAAAUUUAGCAAAACAAGAACACUAAUAACACUAUCAAUCCUCUCAUUUCUUGACAACAAUAUACAAAAUUUAGCAAAACAAGAACAUUAAUAAACUAUCAAUCUUCUCAUUCUUAUAACAAUAUACAAAAUUUAAGCGAAACAAGAACACUAAUAACACUAUCAAUCUUCUCAUUUCUAUAAUAACGAAUAUACAAAAUUUAGCAAAAAAGAAAACACUAAUAACACUAUCAAUCUUCUCAUUUCUUGAUAACAAUAUACAAAAUUACAAAACAGAACAACUAAUAACACAUCAAUUUUCUCAUUUCUUGAUAACAUAUACAAAAUUUAGCCAAAAGCAAGAAACACUAAUAAACUAUCAAUCUUCUCAUUUCUUAAUAACAAUAAUAGAAAAUUUAGCAAAACAAGAAACACUAAAACACUAUCAAUCAUCUCAUUUCUUAAUAAACAAUACANNNNNNNNNNNNNNNNNNNNNGGCAAAAAAAGAAGGGAGAGGAGGGAGGAGUAGAGGGAAUAUAUAUCUGCAACAUACAGCCAGGAGAGUAUUAUAUUUAAUUUUAAUAUAGAGAGAAUUCACACACAUUACAGUAAGUAACUCAAUAUAUAUAAAUUAACAACAUCUCUAUAUGUAUUAUAAUAUACACAUAUAAUCUAUAUAUUAUCUCAAUCUAGUAUCACUAAUUAGAUAUCACUUAGAUCACAUACACCUUAUAACUCACAAAAAGAAUAUUUUAUAUAUAUAGCGCGAGAGAUAUAUAUACCACUCACUAGAAAAUACACAAAUCACAAAUUAUGACACCACUAUAUUCUUUCACAAAUGAGUUGACAUUAUAUAUAUAAAUACUAAAUAUUGUGUAGCAACAAUGAUAUAAUACUCACGCUUAUAAAUAACAUCUAUAGUAAGAAAGAAGAAAUAUUUAUGAAUAAACAAUCAUUGCUAUAUAAUAAUGAGAGAGUGCACAACACAUAAUAUAGGAACAUCAAUAUAGUAACAACAUAAUUCGGAUUAUGUCUCUCUCUAUAUGCUCAUAAUUUAUGCGUAUUAGAUAUAAAAAUAAUACAAAUAGCUUCUCACAUGCAAUAAAUGCAGGAUCACAAAUAUAUAUUAACACUAGUAAUCACAAACUUACUUACUCAUUUUUCUUGAAUAACUAAAUAUAUAACUUUUAAAGCACAUAACCACACGUAUAUUCACCUAAUAAACACUAUCAAUCUCUCAUUUCUUGAUAACAAUAUACAAAAUUUAGCAAAAACAAGAAACAACUAUAAUAACAUUAUCAAUUCGCUCUCAUUUCUUGAAAACAAUAUACAUAAUUUAGCAAAACAAGAACAAUAAAACACUCUCAAUCCUCUCAUUUCUUAAUACAAUAUACAAAAUUUAAGAAAAAGAAGAAACACUAAUAACACUAUCAAUCUCUGAUUUCUUGAUAACAAUAACAAAAUUAGCAAAACAAGAACACUAAUAACACUAUCAAUCUUCUCAUUUUCUUAUAACAAUAUACCAAAAUUUAAGCAAAACAAGAAACACUAAUAACACUAUCAAUCUUCUCAUUUCUUGAUAACAAUAUACAAAAUUUAGCAAAACAAGAACACUAAUAAACACUAUCAAUCUUCUCAAUUCUUGAUAACAAUAUACAAAAUUAAAAAAACAAAAGAACACUAAUAACACUAAUCAAUCUUCUCAUUUCUUGAUAACAAAUAUACAAUUUAAAAAACAAGAACACUAAUAACACUAUCAAUCUCUCAUUUCUUGAUAACAAUACUACAAAUUGCAAAACAAGAACACUAAUAACACUCAAUCUUCUCAUUUCUUAUAACAAUAAAAAAUUUAGCAAACAAGAACACUAAUAACACUAUCAAUCUUCUAUUUCUUGAUAAACAAUAUAAAAAAUUUAGCAAAAUAAAAACACUAAUAACACUAUCAAUCUUCUCAUUUCUUGAUAACAAUAUAAAAAAUUUAGCAAAAACAGAGACACUAAUAACACUAUCAAUCUUCUCAUUUCUUGAUAACAAUAUACAAAAUUUAGCAAAACAAAGAACACUAAUAAAACUAUCAAUCUUCUCAUUUCUUGAAUAACAAAUACAGAAUUUUAGCAAAACAAAGAACACUAAUAACACUAUCAAUCCUCUCAUUUCUUGAUACCAAUAUACAAAUUUAGCAAAACAAGAACACUAAUAAACUAUCAAUCUCUCAAUGUUCUUGAUAAUACAAUAUAUAAAUUUAGCACAAACAAGAACACUAAUAAACACUAUCAAUCUCUCAUUUCUUGAUAACAAUUACAAAUUUAGCAAAACAAGAACGUACUAAUAACACUAUCAAUCCUCAUUUCUUGAUAACAAUAUACAAAUUAGGAAACAAGAACACUAAUAACACUAUCAAUCUUAAUUUCUUGAUAACAAUAUACAAAAUUAGCAAAACAAGAACACUAAUAACACUAUCAUCUUCUCAAUUUCUUGAUAACAAAUAAUACAAAAAUUUAGCAAACAAGAACACUAAUAACACUAUCAAUCUUCUAAUUUCUUGAUAACAAUAUACAAAAUUUAGGAAAAAAGACAUGAUAACAUAUCAAUCUUCUCAUUCUUUUGAUAACAAAAUACAAAUUUAAGCAAAGCAAAGAACACUAAUAAAACUUCAAUUUCUCAUUUCUUGAUAACAAAAUAGAAAAAUUUUAGCAAAACAAGAACACAAAUUACUAUCAUCUUCUCAUUUCUUGAUAACAAUAUAUCAAAAUUAGCAAAACAAGAACAGCUAUAACAUUAAUGCAAUCCUCUCAUUUCUUGAUAACAAUAUACAUAAUUAGCAAAAACCAAGAAACACUAAUCAUCUUCUCAUUUCUUGAUAAUAAUAUACCCAAAAUUUAGCAAAACAGAACCAAUAACACUAUCGAUCCUCUCCCUUUCUUGAUAACAAAUAAAGUACGAAAUUCAGCAAAAAAGAACGCUAAUAACUACUAUCAGAUCUUCUCAUUUCUUGAUAACAAUAUACAAAAUUCAGCAAAACAAGAACACUAAUAACAUUAUCAAUCCUCUCAUUCUUGAUCAACAAAUAUAACAAAAUUUAGCAAAACAAGAACAUUAAUAACAUUAUCAAAUCUUUCCAUUUCUUGAUAACAAUAUAGAAAAUUUAGGCGAAACAAGAACACUAUAACACUAUCAAUCAUCCUUUCAUUUCUAAUAAUAAUAUAAAAUUUAGCAAAACAAGAACAACUAAAUAACACGUCAAAUCUUCACAUUUCUUGAUAAACAAUAUACAAAAUUUAGCAAAACAAGAACACUAAUAACACUAAUCGAUCUUCUCAUUUUCUUGAUAACAAUAUACAAAAUUUAAAGCAAAGCAAGACCACUAAUAACACUAUCCAAGCUUCUCAUUUCUUGAUAACAAAAUAGAAAAUUUAGCAAAACAAGAACACCUGAAUACACUAUCAUCCUUCUCAUCUCUUGAUAACAGUAUAUCAAAACUUUAGCAAAACAAGAACACUAAUAACAUUAUCAAUCCUCUCAUUUUCUUGAUAACAAUAUACAUAAUUUAGCAAAACCAAAACAAUAUACAACACUCUCAAUCCUCUCAUUUCUUAAUAACAAUAUACAAAAUUUAAGAAAAGAAGAACACUAAUGACACUAAUCAAUCUUCUGAUUUCUGAUAAACAAUCUACAAAAUAUAGCAAAACAAAGAACAUAAUAACACUAUGCAAAUCUUCUCAAUUUCUCAUAACAAUUAACAAAAUUUAGCAAAACAAAACACUAAAUAACACUAUCAUCUUCUCAUUUUUUGUACAAUAUAACAAAUUUAGCAAAACAAAGAACACUAAUAACACUAAUCAAUGCUUCUCAUUUCUUGAUACAAUAUACAAAAUUUUAGGCAAAACAAGAAACUAUAACACUAUCAAUCUUUCUCUAUUUCUUGAUAACAAUAUACAAAAUUUUUAAAAAAUAACAAGAACACAAUAACACUAUCAAUUUCUCAUUUCUCCUUGAUAACAAUAUACAAAAUUUAGCAAAACAAAAACACUAAUAACACUAUCAAUCUUCUAAUUUCUUGAUAAGCAAAUAUAAUCAAAAUUUUAGCAAAACAAUAACACUAAUACACUAUCAAUCUUCUCAUUUCUUUCUUGAUAACAAUAUACAAAACUUAAAAAAACAAAGAACACUAAUAAACACUACAUCUUCUCAUUUUUGAUAACAAAUUUACAAAACUUUAAAAAAACAAAAAACUAAUAACACUAUCAAUCUUCUCAUUUCUGAUAACAUAGAUAAAAUUUUGCAAAAACAACGAACACUAAUAACUACUGUCACUCUUCUCAUUUCUGAUAAACAAUAUACAAAAUUUAGCAAAACAAGAACACUAAUAACACUAUCAAUCUUCUGAUUUUCUUGAUAACAAUUUAUACAUAAUUUUGGCCAAAUAAAAACCUAAUAACACUAUAAAUCUCUUCAUUUCUUGAUAACGAUAUAAAAACUUAGCAAAAACAAGGACACUAAUAACACUAUCAAUCUUCACUUUCCUUGAUAUACAAUGAUACAAAAUUUAGCAAAACAGAAACACUAAUACAAAAACUAUCAAUCUUCUCAUUUCUUGAUAACAAUAACAGAAUUUUGCAAAACAAGAACAUUGAUAAACUAUCAAUCCUCUCAUUUCUUGAUAACAAUAUAACAAGAAUUUAGCCAAAAAAAGAACACUAAUAAACUCUAAUCCUCCAAUUUCUUGAUAAUAAUAUCAUAAAAUUUUAGCAAAACAAGAAACCAUAACACUAUCAAUCCUCUCAUUUAUUGAUAACAAUGUAACAGAAUUUAUCAAAGAACAAGAACACUAUAACACUUAUCAAUCCUCUUCAUUUCUGAUAACAAUUAGCAAAUUGCAGUAACAAAACAAGAAUACUAAUAUACUACUCUCAUCUUCUUCAUUUCUGAUAUACUAUAUUAUCAUAAAUUCAGCAAAACAUAGAACACUAUAACACUAUCAUCCUCUCAAUUUCUUGAAUAACAACAUACAAAAUUUAGCAAAACAAGAACAUUAAUAACAUUUAUCAAGUCUUCUCAUUUCCUUGAUAACAAUACUACAAAAUUUAGCAAAAACAAGAACACUAAUAACGAAUUUUCAAUUCUUUUUCAAUUUCCUUGAUUAACAAUAUACAAAAUUUAGCAGAAGCAAGAACAGACUAAUAAACUGAUCAAUCUUCUCAUCUUCUGAUAACAAAAAUAGAAAAUUUAGCAAAACAGAAGAAACACUAAUAACACUAAUCAUUCCUUCUCAUUUUCUUGAUAACAAUAUACAAAAAUUUAGCAAAACAGAACACUAAUAACAAUUAUCAUCCAAUCAUUUUCUUGAUAACAAUAUAUCAAAAUUUAGCAAACAAAAACAACUAAUAACACAAUCAAUCCUCCUCAUUUUCUUGAUUUAACAAUAUACAAAAUUCAGCAAAACAAGAACAGCCUAAUAACACUAUCAAUCUUUCAAUUUCUUAAUAACAAUAUACAAUUCAGCAAAACAAGAACACUAAUAACACUAUAUCCUCGUCAAUUUUCUUGAUAACAAUAUACAAUUUAAGCAAAAACAAGAACAUUAAUAACAUUAUCAAUCUUCUCAUUUCUUGAUAACAAUAUACCAAGUUAAGCAAAACAAGGACACUAAUAACACUAUCAAUCAUCUCAUUUCUUAAUAAUAAUAAUAUCAAAAUUUAGCAAAACAAGACCACUAAUAAACUAUGCAAUCUUCUCAUUUCUUGAUAACAAUAUAACAAAAUUUAAGCAAAACCCAAGAACACUCAUUAACACUAUCAUCUUCUCAUUUCUUGAUAACAACAUAACAAAUUACAAACCCAAGAACACUAAUAACACUAUCAAUCUCACAUUCUUGAUAAGCAAAUAUACAAAAUUUAGCAAACAAGAACAUUAAUAAACUAUCAAUCCUCUCAUUUCUUGAAUAACAAUAUACAAAUAUUCAGCAAAACAAGAACCUAAUAACAACUAUCAAUCUUCUCAUUUCUUGAAUAACAAUAUAAACUAAAAUUCAGCAAGAAGCAAGAACACUAAUAACCACUGUCAAUCCUCUCAAUUUCUGAUAACAAUUCAAAUUAAGCAAAACAAGAAAUAUUAAUAACAUAUCAAUCUUCUCAUUCUUAUAACAAUAUACAAGAAUUUGGCGAAACAAGGAACACCUAAUAACACAGAAUCAAUCAUCGUCAUUUUUAAUAAUAAUAUACAAAAUUUAGCACCACAAGAACACGUAAUAACACUACAAUCUUCUCAUCUUGAAUAACAAUAGUAUAAAUUAGCAAAACAAAGAAUAACUAAUAACGACUAUCACUCUUCGUCUUUCUUGAUAAGAAAAUACAAAAGUUUUAGCAAAACAAGAACAGCUAAUAACACUUUAUCGAAUCUUCACAUUUCUUGAUAACAAUAUACAAAAUUUAGGCAAAACCAAGAACACUAAUAACACUAUCAAUCCUCAUCAUUUCUUGAUAACAAUAUACGAAAUUCAGCAAACAAGAACCUAAUACACUAUCAAUCUUCACAUUUUCUGAUAACCAAUAUAAUAAUUUAUGCAAAACAAGAACACUAAUAACACUAUCCAAUCCUCUCAUUUAUUGAUAACAAUGUACAGAAUUUCAGCAAAGACAAGAACACUAAUAACACUAUCAAUCCUCAUCAUUUCUUCCUUGAUAACAAUAACAAAAUUCAGCAAAACAAGAAACACUAAUAACACUAUCAAUCUUCUCAUUUCUUGAUAACAAUAUACAAAAUUUCAGCAAAACAAGAACACUAUAACACUAUCAAUCCUCUAUUUCUUGAUAAACACAUACAAAAUUUAGCAAACAAAACAUUACUCAAGCAUUAAUCAAUCUUCUCAUUUCUUGAUAACAAACAAAAUUAGCAAAACAAGACACUACUAAUAACCUUUCAAUCUUCUCAUUUCUUGAUAACAAUAUACAAAUUUAGCAAAACAAGACACUAAUAACACUAUCAAUCUUCUCAUUUCUUGAUAACAAAUACAAAAUUUAGCAAAAGAAGAACACUAAAUACACUAUCAAUCUUCUCAUUUCUUGAUACAAUAUACAAAAUUUAGCAAAACAAGAACACUAAUAACAAUUCAUCCUCUCAUUUCUUUGAUAACAAAUACAAAAUUUAGCAAAAACAAGAGAACACUAUAACACUAUCAAUCCUCUCAUUUCUUGAUAACAAUAUACAAAAUUUCAGCAAAACAAGAACCCUAAUACACAUUCAAUCUUCUCAUUCUCUUAUAAACAAUAUACAAAAUUCAGCAAAACAAGAACACUAAUAACACUAUCAAUCCUCUCAUUUCUGAUAACAAUAUACAAAAUUUAGCAAAACAAGAACACUUAAUAACACUAUCAAUCGUUCUCAUUUUGAUAACAAUAUACAAAUUUAGCAACAAAACAAGAACACUAAUAAACAUUAUCAAUCCUCUCAUUCUUUGAUGAACAAUAUACAAAAUUUAGCAAAACAAGAACACUAAUAAACACUAUCAAUCCUCUCAUUUCUUGAAACAAAUAUACAAAAUUCAGCAAAACAAGAACCCUAAUAACACUAUCAAGCUUCUCAUUUCUUGAUAACCAAUAUACAAAAAAUUCAGCAAAACAAGAACACUAAUAACACUAUCAAUCCUCUCAUUUCUUGUAACAAUAUACAAAUUAGCAAAACAAGCAACGAUUAUAACAGUUAUCAAUCUACUCAUUCUUGAUAACAAUAUACAAAAAGUUAGCGAAAACAAGGACACUAAUAACACUAUCAAUAUCUCAUUUCUUUAAUAAUAGAAUAUACAAAAUUAGCCAAACAAGACCCCUAAUAACCACUAUUCAAUCUUCUCAUUCUUGAUAACAAUAUCAAAUUUAGCCGAAAAACAAAGAACACUAAUUACACUAUCAAUCUUUCUCAUUUCUUGAUAAAAACAUACAAAAUUUAGCAAAACAAAGACAUAUAACACUAUUCAUCUUCACAUUCUUAUACAAUAUACCAAUUUAGCAAAACCAAGAAACACUAAAUAACACUAUCAAUCAAACAAGAACACUAAAACACUGAUAAUCUUCUCAUUUCUUAAUAACAAUAUACAAAUUCUAGCAAACAAGACACUAAUAACAUAUCAAUCUUCUCAUUUCUUUAUAAACAAUAUACAAAAUUUAGCAACAAGGAACAUUAAUAACAUAUAAUCUUCUUCAUUUCUGCUAAACAAUAUACAAAAUUUAGCGCAAACAGAACAGCUAAUAACACUUAUCCAAUACUUCUCAUUCUCUAAAUAACCAAUAUAAAAUUUAAACAAACAAGAAUAAUAACACAUAUCAAUCUUCUAUUCUUGAUAACAAUAGAUACAAAUUUGCAAAACAAGAACACAAAUCACUAUCAAUCUCUCAUUCUAUAUGAUAACAAUAUACAUAAAUUUAGCAACAAGAAACAUAUCAACUAUCAUCUCUAUUUCUAUAAACAAUAGAAAAUUUAGCAAAACAAGAACCUAAUAACACUAACAUCCUUCUCAUUUCUGGAUAACAAUAUACAAAUUUAGCAAACAAGAACACUAUCACCAUUAUCAAUCUCUUCAUCUUCUGAUACUUACAUAUUUGCCAAAAGACCAAUGACACAAUAUCUCACAUAAAACGUCAAUUUACAACCGAACACUAAUAACUAUAUCAUCUGUAAAACAAUCUAUAUUACAAAAUGUAACUCCUCUUCUCGAUCAAUUUCAAAUUGAAACGAAAACCUAAUACAUUAUAAUUUCAUUUAUAUCAAGCAAAACAAGAACUUAAAUACAUCUAUCACAGUUCUCUCAUUUUUAUUAACAAUAUACAAAAUUUAGCCAACAAGACACUAUAUAACGCCUCUCUACUAUCAAUAUAAAUCGCAACAAGUAUCUGCAAUUUCUUAUCUAUAACCAUAUACAAUUAGCAAACAAAGAAACAUUAAACAUCUAUCAAUCUUCUCAUUCUUGAUAACGAAUAUACAAAAUUUUAGCGAAAACAAGAAACACUAAUAACACUAUCAAUCUUCUAUUUACUUAGAUAACAAUACACAAAAUUUUAGCAAAACAAGAACACAACAACUAUCAUCUUCUCAUUUUAUAUAACAAUAUACCAAACAUUAGCAAAAAAGAACAUACUAAAACACAUUAUCAUUCCUUCUCAUUUCUUUGAUAACAAUUAUACAAAAUUCAGCCAAAGACAGAGAACCAUAAAACAUAGUCAAUCUUCUCAUUUCUUAAUAACAAAUAGCAAAUUUUAGCAAAACAAGGAACACUAAAUCAAAACACUAAUCAAUUUUCCAAUCUUCAUUUCUUGAUACCAAUAUACAAAAUUUAGCAAAACAAGAACACUAAUAACACUGUCAAUCUUCUCAUUCCUUGAUAACAAUAUACAAAAUUUAGCAAAACAAGAACACUAAUAACACUAUCAAUCCUCUCAUUUCUUAAUAACAAAAUAGAAAAUUUAGCAAAACAAGAACAUUAAUAACACUAUCAAUCUUCUCAUUUCUUGAUAACAAUAUACAAAAUUUAUCAAAACAAGAACACUAAUAACACUAUCAAUCCUCUCAUUUCUUGAUAACAAUAUACAAAAUUCAGCAAAACAAGAACACUAAUAACACUAUCAAUCUUCUCAUUUCUUGAUAACAACAUACAAAAUUUAGCAAAAGAAGAACACUAAUAACACUAUCAAUCUUCAUAUUUCUUGAUAACAAUAUACAUAAUUUAGCAAAACAAGAACACUAAUAACACUAUCAAUCUUCUCAUUUCUUAAUAACAAAAUAGAAAAUUUAGCAAAACAAGAACACUAAUAACACUAUCAAUCUUCUCAUUUCUUGAUAACAAUAUAA